GACGAACGCUGGCGGCGUGCUUAACACAUGCAAGUCGAACGGAAAGGCCCUGCUUUUGUGGGGUGCUCGAGUGGCGAACGGGUGAGUAACACGUGAGUAACCUGCCCUUGACUUUGGGAUAACUUCAGGAAACUGGGGCUAAUACCCGAUAGGAGCCCCUGCUGCAUGGGGGGGGUUGGAAAGUUUCGGCGGUUGGGGAUGGACUCGCGGCUUAUCAGCUUGUUGGUGGGGUAGUGGCUUACCAAGGCUUUGACGGGUAGCCGGCCUGAGAGGGUGACCGGCCACAUUGGGACUGAGAUACGGCCCAGACUCCUACGGGAGGCAGCAGUGGGGAAUAUUGCACAAUGGGCGGAAGCCUGAUGCAGCAACGCCGCGUGCGGGAUGACGGCCUUCGGGUUGUAAACCGCUUUCGCCUGUGACGAAGCGUGAGUGACGGUAAUGGGUAAAGAAGCACCGGCUAACUACGUG
This 468-nucleotide ribosomal RNA is filed under the name uncultured bacterium. RNAcentral describes it as "partial 16S ribosomal RNA". It matches the Rfam family "Bacterial small subunit ribosomal RNA", at positions 28 to 507 of the family's 1533-position model. The record is from RNAcentral.